GUCUACUGCCAUGCCACCAUGAGUACACCCGAUCUCAUCUGAUCUUGGAAGCUAAGCAGGAUUGGGCCUGGUUAGUACUUGGAUGGGAGACCACCUAGUAAUACUGGGUGCUGUAGGCC
RNAcentral lists this ribosomal RNA (119 nucleotides) under Pteropus alecto (black flying fox). Lineage: Eukaryota; Metazoa; Chordata; Mammalia; Chiroptera; Pteropodidae. The record is from RNAcentral.